CCAGCGAGGACUCCCUUCCCCCCAGCCCCCCCCCCCCAAGCCCCGUCCUCAUAGGGGAGGCGGGGAGCCGGGGAAGGGCCGCCCUCACCUGUGAGCACCCCGGCCGUCAGGUACAGCUCCAGGAGGCGCGUGGCGAAGGAUGCCAGGACCAUGCCCGCCGAGGCCAGCAGCCCCCCCACCAGCAUCACCGGGCGACAGCCGAAGCGGGUCACGAGGAUGCUGGAGACUGGACCUGUGGGCGGAGCACCGUCACCGCUCCGGCCGGACUAAGCUCUCUCCCUGGACACUCCAGCCCCAGACGGGGCUCCAAGGGAUAAGGGCACCCCCUGUUCAGAGACGGCAGCGUCUGGCCAAGGUCACACAGCUUGGCUGGGAGGCGCCCUGCGGGGCCGCAAGGCAGGGACCUGUCCUGGUCCAGAGGCCCCACCCCCCGCCCCUCCAGAGAACGGGGACCCAAAGCAGAAGGAGCAGACCCCUCCCUUUUUAUCUGCGCAGCUGGAAUCGUCCCUUACUCCCACCCCCCAGGCGCUGGGCUGGGAUUAACACCAGCAGGUCCUCCACCCCCCAGGGGGCCAGGGAACCGGGAGCGGGGAGGGGCGAUUUUAUUUAGAUCCGUUCCCCCACCUGUAAGAGAAGCGGGUGUAGGUCUUUGGCGGGAAAGGAGGGCCCUGCAGGGUGGCCAAACUUGCCGGUCAGCCCCUGCCCUCUCCUCCCCUCUCUGGGGCCAGCGUCUCCACAGGGGGAAAGUGGUUUCCCUGGGAUGCCCAGCGGGUCGGGGAUGCCGCCCUCAGCCCUGGGCCUGGGGGGAGGGGCCUGCCAGGGGCCUGACCCGUGCCGUAGAGCAUGGCGAGCAUGAUGGAGGACACCCAGGCCGUGUCGCUGUAGCCCGCGCCGAAGUCGCGCAUCAGCGCGCGGAAGAAGACGCUCACGGCCUUGGGGAAGCCGUAGGCGAACCCGGUGACCACGAAGCAGGCGCCCAGCACGGCCCAGCCCCAGCCCCCGUCUGGGGGUCCCUCGCCCCGCCGCGGGCCGCCAGCGCCCAUCGCUGCUGCCUCUGCUGGAGGAAGGGGACAAGAGGGGGCAGGGAAGGUCUGUAGCCCCGGCAAGGAAGGGGGAUGGAGACCCACCGUGGGGAAACUGAGGCACGGGGCUACCCAGGUGAGCCCUGUUCCGGGAAUGAGCCAGGAGGGAAGACCGAGGUAGCGCCUCACCCCAAACUUGCCCUCCUCCAAAGGGCUUAUAAAAGGUGAGAGGAGGAUAAUAGAAUCGUUCCCACCUGGGUCAGGACUUCAGGAAGACGGGCUCGGAGGGCACUCCUUCCUAGGGACCUAGUGGUGGCCGGAGAGGGGGUGCUGGUGAGUGGGAGAGCUGGGCGGCCAGUGUGUGUGCCCCAGCUGCGGGGACCGCCAGGGUUCCCAGGGUGCAAGAACUCACGGGGGGUGGGGGGGCGUGCAGAGAAGGGCAGCCAAGUGCCAGCUGCAAAAUGGCUGGGUGUAUUUGGCUCCUUGGCCAAGUGUUCUUCAUUUUUCUCAAUGACCAGAAAUGACUAUUGUCAUCAGAAUAUUAUGGAAAAAAAAUAAAACAAAACAAAAAACCCCAGACAUUUUGGAGUAACAUUAGCCUCGUUUCAGGAGCCAAAGAAGCUGAGCUCCAGUUCAUCCCAGCUUAGCCGUGGAUCCGCUCUGUGACUCAGGCGGAUCCUCCUGCCUCGCUGAGCCUCAGUCUUGCCACCUCUCCCCAAACCCUCCACAAGCAGAAAAGAGCUCUGAAGUCUCUCACACCCGUGGAGCUCCAGCCAGGGGUGCACGCAGCAGCCUCCCGUGGCCCCCGGAACAGCCCAGGAAGGCAGAGGACGAGACCAGAUGCCCCUGCAGUGCCAGGCUUCUGGGAAAUAAGGCCGAGGUGUUCUGAAGCCCAGAAUUCUGUGGAUCGCAGCCUUGAGAAGCCUCUGGACCCAAGUACCAUCUCCCAGGCUGCAGAUGCCCUCCCUGCACCCCACACCUCACCCCAGUCCUGCCCCGCCAGCUCCAGCCCCGGCUCUGACCCAGGAUCCUGGUCUUGCCUCUCCCAGGGGGUGGGGAGGUAGAGAGCACAGGCCUUUUCCAGUGCUCCCAGCAGGACAACGGGGGCUCCAGUCCCUGAGAGGAAUGCUUUCCCCUUUCCCUCUGCCCCAGACUCAGAAAUCCAUCCUACACCUCCCCGCAGAUGGACAAACUGAGGCUGCGGCGGGGAAGACCCCCUGCCAGCCAGCCAGUGGCAAAGCAGGAGGGUUACCUGGCCUCCAGUCUCCCUGCCCACUGGGUGAGGCCGGGGCUGGGGACAGGCGGUGCAGCGGGGUGGAGCUCACCUUGACGUCACUGGCCACCCCCGUGCUGCCCAUGCUGCUUCG
Canis lupus familiaris (dog) is the source of this 2389-nucleotide long non-coding RNA. RefSeq lists it as uncharacterized. The transcript has 3 exons. Lineage: Eukaryota; Metazoa; Chordata; Mammalia; Carnivora; Canidae. The record is from RefSeq and is a predicted model, not a curated record.